CUCCUGAAAAAGUUCCUGUAGUUCACUGGGAUCAAUCUGGGUGGCAAGAGGUUGAUAGCCUUGUCUCGAAGGGCCUCCAAAUGGGUUCCUCCCAAAUCCACUCCCAUCAAUGGAUCCAUAAGACAUUUUCUAAAUAGCAGUGGAUGCAGGAUUGUACUUUAAACCCACGCUUCUAUCCCCUUGUGAUGUGGAGCCACCGGUUUGGCACAAGGCAGCAGCAGCAGCACAACAGACCAAAAGCUGGUUGCCUCAGUGGCUUCUCUGCCGCCGCGCGCCCGCGCCGUGCUGCCGGCACCCAAAC
This 301-nucleotide long non-coding RNA is filed under the name Gallus gallus (chicken). The record is from RNAcentral. Lineage: Eukaryota; Metazoa; Chordata; Aves; Galliformes; Phasianidae.